This is a non-coding RNA of Vicia faba (fava bean), 249 nucleotides long. Lineage: Eukaryota; Viridiplantae; Streptophyta; Magnoliopsida; Fabales; Fabaceae. The record is from the annotation of a GenBank genome assembly.
AUGAACCAUGCUGACAGUAUAUUGGUCCAAAUAAUUGACUCUUUGCCAGAUGUCUAUCCAAAAUUAGAAGCUUGGGUGGAGAAUGUGCUUUUGGAGGAGGGAAAUGCCACAAUUCUAACCCUCUUUGCAUGCCUCCUAACUGUGUUGUAUCUGCGCGAAAGGCAAAGACGGCAAGCUGCUGUUGUAGUUGGCGAGGUCGCUCAGCCAAAUCUCCCUAACGAGCUUGCUAUGCCAGCACCCAUGAGAUAG